UGAGUUCAAGUAAUAGUAAAACAUAUGUUGCCGUGACUUAUUGAUCUCAUCACUUUUUAGUGUUGUUUGUAUAUAUCUUUUAUAUCUUGUAAAAAUAAAGUUUUCAUACAUUAUGAUAGUUUUUGAUGUGAUGCCUUCAGUUUAUGAUUCAAUUUCUAAUAUGAAAACUAUCCUAUUAAUGAGAAUCUAAUGAGGAUCACAAGUGCAUUGGAAAUAAUGAGAGUGACAGAAAAAGCCCUCAAGUAAAACAUCUGGAUGCAUCACGGUGAAAUAUGACUUGGACUUUGUAUGGUUAACC
Long non-coding RNA from Sinocyclocheilus anshuiensis, 298 nucleotides. RefSeq lists it as uncharacterized. The record is from RefSeq and is a predicted model, not a curated record. The transcript is spliced from 2 exons. Lineage: Eukaryota; Metazoa; Chordata; Actinopteri; Cypriniformes; Cyprinidae.